GGGGAAUCUUGGACAAUGGGGGAAACCCUGAUCCAGCCAUGCCGCGUGAGUGAUGAAGGCCCUAGGGUUGUAAAGCUCUUUUAGCAGGGAAGAUAAUGACGGUACCUGCAGAAAAAGCCCCGGCUAACUUCGUGCCAGCAGCCGCGGUAAUACGAAGGGGGCUAGCGUUGCUCGGAAUCACUGGGCGUAAAGCGCACGUAGGCGGAUCUUUAAGUCAGGGGUGAAAGCCUGGAGCUCAACUCCAGAACUGCCUUUGAUACUGAAGAUCUUGAGGUCGGGAGAGGUGAGUGGAACUGCGAGUGUAGAGGUGAAAUUCGUAGAUAUUCGCAAGAACACCAGUGGCGAAGGCGGCUCACUGGCCCGAUACUGACGCUGAGGUGCGAAAGCGUGGGGAGCAAAC
This 400-nucleotide ribosomal RNA is filed under the name uncultured bacterium. Its description in RNAcentral is "bacterial SSU rRNA". It matches the Rfam family "Bacterial small subunit ribosomal RNA", at positions 356 to 773 of the family's 1533-position model. The record is from RNAcentral.